This 376-nucleotide ribosomal RNA is filed under the name uncultured bacterium. RNAcentral's name for it is "bacterial SSU rRNA". It matches the Rfam family "Bacterial small subunit ribosomal RNA", at positions 524 to 898 of the family's 1533-position model. The record is from RNAcentral.
UACAGAGGGUGCAAGCGUUGUUCGGAAUUAUUGGGCGUAAAGCGCGUGUAGGCGGCUCAGCAAGUCAGGUGUGAAAGCCCUCGGCUUAACCGAGGAAGUGCGCCUGAAACUACUGAGCUUGAGUACCGGAGAGGGCGGUGGAAUUCCCGGUGUAGAGGUGAAAUUCGUAGAUAUCGGGAGGAACACCAGCGGCGAAGGCGACCGCCUGGACGGCUACUGACGCUGAGACGCGAAAGCGUGGGGAGCAAACAGGAUUAGAUACCCUGGUAGUCCACGCUGUAAACGAUGAGCGCUAGGUGUUGUGGGUGUUGACCCCCGCAGUGCCGCAGCUAACGCAUUAAGCGCUCCGCCUGGGAAGUACGGCCGCAAGGCUAAA